RNAcentral lists this long non-coding RNA (338 nucleotides) under Carica papaya (papaya). Its description in RNAcentral is "long non-coding RNA (CPAP_LNC009748)". The record is from RNAcentral. Lineage: Eukaryota; Viridiplantae; Streptophyta; Magnoliopsida; Brassicales; Caricaceae.
CUGGCACUGGCUUCCCACUCCGCUCUUGCUCAGGCUCCCGGAGCAGCACCGAACCAAUCUCCGCCAGCAGCUACUCCAGCUCCGGCCCCAAAGGCUGCGGCUCCAACUCCCUCAGUCAUGGCUCCACCACCAGCCACCACUCCAACUACUCCACCAACCGUAGCUCCAACCGUACCUCCAGCAAGUGCACCAACUUCUCCCACCAUCUCUCCUCCUGCUCCUCCCACCUCUCCCGCUUCAGCUCCAUCCACACCGGUCCCUCCCACACCAUCCAUUUCCAACCCUCCCGGUGAGGCUCCUGCCGUCACUCCCGGCAAUGGAGCUGCCUUGAACAGAAU